GUAGGGGGCAAGCGUUGUCCGGAUUUAUUGGGCGUAAAGAGCUCGUAGGCGGUUCGGUAAGUCGGGUGUGAAACCUCCAGGCUCAACCUGGAGAUGCCACCUGAUACUGCUGUGACUCGAGUCCGGUAGGGGAGCGUGGAAUUCCUGGUGUAGCGGUGAAAUGCGCAGAUAUCAGGAGGAACACCAGCGGCGAAGGCGGCGCUCUGGGCCGGAACUGACGCUGAGGAGCGAAAGCGUGGGUAGCAAACAGG
Molecule: ribosomal RNA, 251 nt
Filed under: uncultured bacterium
Lineage: Bacteria
Description: partial 16S ribosomal RNA
Rfam family: Bacterial small subunit ribosomal RNA
Source: RNAcentral